UACGUAGGGUGCGAGCGUUGUCCGGAAUUAUUGGGCGUAAAGAGCUCGUGGGCGGUCUGUCGCGUCGAUCGUGAAAACUUGGGGCUUAACCCUGAGCUUGCGGUCGAUACGGGCAUGACUGGAGUUCGGCAGGGGAGACUGGAAUUCCUGGUGUAGCGGUGAAAUGCGCAGAUAUCAGGAGGAACACCGGUGGCGAAGGCAGUUCUCUGGGCCGUAACUGACGCUGAGGAGCGAAAGCGUGGGGAGCGAACAGG
RNAcentral lists this ribosomal RNA (254 nucleotides) under uncultured bacterium. Its description in RNAcentral is "partial 16S ribosomal RNA". It matches the Rfam family "Bacterial small subunit ribosomal RNA", at positions 524 to 776 of the family's 1533-position model. The record is from RNAcentral.